CAGUAGCCGCGGGAAUACGGAGGGUGCAAGCGUUAUCCGGAUUUAUUGGGUUUAAAGGGUCCGUAGGCGGAUCUGUAAGUCAGUGGUGAAAUCUCACAGCUUAACUGUGAAACUGCCAUUGAUACUGCAGGUCUUGAGUAAAUUUGAAGUGGCUGGAAUAAGUAGUGUAGCGGUGAAAUGCAUAGAUAUUACUUAGAACACCAAUUGCGAAGGCAGGUCACUAAGAUUUAACUGACGCUGAUGGACGAAAGCGUGGGGAGCGAACAGGAUUAGAUACCCCCGUAGUCCCUGUCUCUUAUAU
Molecule: ribosomal RNA, 301 nt
Filed under: uncultured bacterium
Lineage: Bacteria
Description: partial 16S ribosomal RNA
Rfam family: Bacterial small subunit ribosomal RNA
Source: RNAcentral